This 431-nucleotide ribosomal RNA is filed under the name uncultured bacterium. RNAcentral describes it as "partial 16S ribosomal RNA". It matches the Rfam family "Bacterial small subunit ribosomal RNA", at positions 29 to 505 of the family's 1533-position model. The record is from RNAcentral.
AACGAACGCUGGCGGCAUGCCUAACACAUGCAAGUCGAACGAGACCUUCGGGUCUAGUGGCGCACGGGUGCGUAACGCGUGGGAACCUGCCCUUAGGUUCGGAAUAACUCCCCGAAAGGGGUGCUAAUACCGGAUAAUGUCUUCGGACCAAAGAUUUAUCGCCUUUGGAUGGGCCCGCGUUGGAUUAGCUAGUUGGUAGGGUAAAAGCCUACCAAGGCGACGAUCCAUAGCUGGUCUGAGAGGAUGAUCAGCCACACUGGGACUGAGACACGGCCCAGACUCCUAGGGGGGGCAGGAGUGGGAAAUAUUGGACAGGGGGCGAAAGCCUGAUCCAGCAAGGCCGGGGGAGGGAGGAAGGCCUUAGGGUUGUAAAGCUCUUUUCCCCGGGAUGAUAAUGACAGCACGGGGAGAAAAAGCCCCGGCUAACCCCG